RNAcentral lists this ribosomal RNA (460 nucleotides) under uncultured bacterium. Its description in RNAcentral is "partial 16S ribosomal RNA". It matches the Rfam family "Bacterial small subunit ribosomal RNA", at positions 338 to 795 of the family's 1533-position model. The record is from RNAcentral.
CCUACGGGGGGCAGCAGUGAGGAAUAUUGGUCAAUGGACGAGAGUCUGAACCAGCCAAGUAGCGUGAAGGAUGACUGCCCUAUGGGUUGUAAACUUCUUUUAUAUGGGAAUAAAACGUUCCACGUGUGGGAUUUUGUAUGUACCAUAUGAAUAAGGAUCGGCUAACUCCGUGCCAGCAGCCGCGGUAAUACGGAGGAUCCGAGCGUUAUCCGGAUUUAUUGGGUUUAAAGGGAGCGUAGGUGGAUUGUUAAGUCAGUUGUGAAAGUUUGCGGCUCAACCGUAAAAUUGCAGUUGAAACUGGCAGUCUUGAGUACAGUAGAGGUGGGCGGAAUUCGUGGUGUAGCGGUGAAAUGCUUAGAUAUCACGAAGAACUCCGAUUGCGAAGGCAGUUCACUGGACUGCAACUGACACUGAGGCUCGAAAGUGUGGGUAUCAAACAGGAUUAGUUACCCUUGUAGUC